RNAcentral lists this transfer RNA (73 nucleotides) under Camelus bactrianus (Bactrian camel). It matches the Rfam family "tRNA". From Rfam's summary of the family: Transfer RNA (tRNA) molecules are approximately 80 nucleotides in length. Their secondary structure includes four short double-helical elements and three loops (D, anti-codon, and T loops). RNAcentral also lists the same sequence under 1 other name. Lineage: Eukaryota; Metazoa; Chordata; Mammalia; Artiodactyla; Camelidae. The record is from Rfam by way of RNAcentral.
GAGGGUAUAGCUCAGUUGGUAGAGUGCAUGCUUAGCAUGCAGGAGGUCCUGGGUUCAAUCCCCGGUACCUCCA